GAGAUGUGUGAUGACGCAUAUCAAUAAGCGGAGGAAAAGAAACUAACUAGGAUUCCCUUAGUAACGGCGAGUGAAGCGGGAAGAGCUCAAAUUUGAAAUCUUCAAGGUUCUACCUUGACGAAUUGUAGUUUAUAGAAGUGUUUUCUGUUAGUAGAGUGGCAAAAGUUCUUUGGAAUAGGACAUCAUAGAGGGUGAGAAUCCCGUAUUUGGUCAUUCUUUCUAGCUUUGUGAUACACUUUCAACGAGUCGGAUUGUUUGGGAAUGCAGUCCAAAAUGGGUGGUAAAUUUCAUCUAAAGCUAAAUAUUGGCGAGAGACCGAUAGCGAACAAGUACCGUGAGGGAAAGAUGAAAAGAACUUUGAAAAGAGAGUUAAACAGUACGUGAAAUUGUCAAAAGGGAAGCGUUUGACACCAGUGUUGUUUUUCCGAAAAUCAAUUACGAAUGUUUUAUUUUUGAGGAGUUAUGACUUCAUCGGCUUGCUCCUUUCUUUAUGAAACUUUCUUAAUGCACUUUUCGGUUAACAAGUCAACAUCAAUUUCUUUUGUUGUAAAAGGGUAUGAGGAAGGUGGCUUUCUUUUCGGAGAAAGUGUUUAUAGCCUUGUGCCUCUGCAAUCGGAGAGAUUGAGGUCUGCAGCGUAGAUCCUUCGGGGUUAGAUAGCAUUUGUGCUAGGUUAUAGCCUUUUCAUAGACAACUUGUUGACUAUGAUCAGUCAUGUAGCUUACUCGCUUAUGUCUAUUUUACCUACGCUUAGGAUGUUGAGUCGUAGAGCACGCAG
RNAcentral lists this ribosomal RNA (776 nucleotides) under uncultured Neocallimastigales. RNAcentral's name for it is "partial large subunit ribosomal RNA". It matches the Rfam family "Eukaryotic large subunit ribosomal RNA", at positions 23 to 631 of the family's 3401-position model. The record is from RNAcentral. Lineage: Eukaryota; Fungi; Neocallimastigomycota; Neocallimastigomycetes; Neocallimastigales.